Molecule: non-coding RNA, 89 nt
Organism: Irineochytrium annulatum
Lineage: Eukaryota; Fungi; Chytridiomycota; Chytridiomycetes; Chytridiales; Chytridiaceae
Source: the annotation of a GenBank genome assembly
UCUUCGAUAGUAUAGUGGCUAGCAUCUCCCCCUGUCAUCUCUGACGGGAUCGUUCGGGGAAGACCCGGGUUCAAUUCCCGGUCGAAGAG